ACAUUGGUAGUUCAGUGGUAGAAUUCUUGACUUCCAUGCGGGAGACCCAGGUACGAUUCCCGGCUAAUGUA
This 71-nucleotide transfer RNA is filed under the name Loxodonta africana (African savanna elephant). It matches the Rfam family "tRNA". Rfam says of the family: Transfer RNA (tRNA) molecules are approximately 80 nucleotides in length. Their secondary structure includes four short double-helical elements and three loops (D, anti-codon, and T loops). Lineage: Eukaryota; Metazoa; Chordata; Mammalia; Proboscidea; Elephantidae. The record is from Rfam by way of RNAcentral.